This 253-nucleotide ribosomal RNA is filed under the name uncultured bacterium. RNAcentral's name for it is "partial 16S ribosomal RNA". It matches the Rfam family "Bacterial small subunit ribosomal RNA", at positions 524 to 776 of the family's 1533-position model. The record is from RNAcentral.
UACGUAGGUGGCGAGCGUUGUCCGGAUUUACUGGGCGUAAAGCGCGCGCAGGCGGUUGACUAAGUCUGGUGUGAAAUUUCCCGGCUUAACUGGGAAGGGUCAUUGGAAACUGGUCAGCUUGAGGAAGGUAGAGGAGAGUGGAAUUCCCGGUGUAGUGGUGGAAUGCGUAGAUAUCGGGAGGAACACCAGUGGCGAAAGCGGCUCUCUGGGCCUUUCCUGACGCUGAGGCGCGAAAGCGUGGGGAGCGAACCGG